This 610-nucleotide ribosomal RNA is filed under the name Ganoderma australe. RNAcentral describes it as "eukaryotic LSU rRNA". The stretch from base 217 to 370 matches the Rfam family "5.8S ribosomal RNA". The record is from RNAcentral. Lineage: Eukaryota; Fungi; Basidiomycota; Agaricomycetes; Polyporales; Polyporaceae.
AAGGAUCAUUAUCGAGUUUUGACUGGGUUGUAGCUGGCCUUCCGAGGCACGUGCACGCCCUGCUCAUCCACUCUACACCUGUGCACUUACUGUGGGUUUACCGGUCGCGAAACGGGCUCGUUUAUUCGGGCUUGUGGAGCGCACUUGUUGCCUGCGUUUAUCACAAACUCCAUUAAAGUAUUAGAAUGUGUAUUGCGAUGUAACGCAUCUAUAUACAACUUUCAGCAACGGAUCUCUUGGCUCUCGCAUCGAUGAAGAACGCAGCGAAAUGCGAUAAGUAAUGUGAAUUGCAGAAUUCAGUGAAUCAUCGAAUCUUUGAACGCACCUUGCGCUCCUUGGUAUUCCGAGGAGCAUGCCUGUUUGAGUGUCAUGAAAUCUUCAACUUACAAGCUCUUUGCGGGGUUUGUAGGCUUGGACUUGGAGGCUUGUCGGCCUUUAACGGUCGGCUCCUCUUAAAUGCAUUAGCUUGAUUUCCUUGCGGAUCGGCUGUCGGUGUGAUAAUGUCUACUCCGCGACCGUGAAGCGUUUGGCAAGCUUCUAACCGUCUCGUUACAGAGACAGCUUUAUGACCUCUGACCUCAAAUCAGGUAGGACUACCCGCUGAACUUAA